GGAGUAAUUUUAUUUUUGAACUUCUAAUUCAAACCUCAAUGAUUCUUACAUCAUUCUACUCCU
Molecule: transfer RNA, 63 nt
Filed under: Camponotus concavus
Lineage: Eukaryota; Metazoa; Arthropoda; Insecta; Hymenoptera; Formicidae
Description: tRNA-Ser
Source: RNAcentral